GACAGGUUGAGACAAAUACUGCUUUAAUUCAAAAGUUAAACCAUCGGUGCUAUUUUUUGCUGCACCCGUUUUUUUUACAAGAUCGUCAUGAUAAUUCCAAAUAUCAUUUUUUAAAUGAUUGUUUUCAGUAACCAAUUGCAAUUGCAGUUGAAUAGGAUCAGGAGAAACAGCUGACUUCAUUUUACGAUUGAUAAUAUCAAUGGCAUGAGAAGCACUCAUUGCCUUUUGAAAAUGUAUUUUCUUGAAUCUUGGGUCCAGUAUUGUAGAAAUACAUAAAAUUUCAAAAAAUUCAAUGUCAUUGAAUCGUUUUUCAAUUUGAUAAAUAAUCGCCUCUUUAAAUUCGACUCCAAUUGCGGUAUUAUUACUUUGGCGAUAAUUUGCAUUACAUCAACGAUGUCUUUGAGAAUAGCGAUCUCUUCGUGAGAUAACAAUGGAGGAGGACUGGCACAUUUUGAUGUAACUGGAUAUACAUAAUCUUCUAGCUGAAGGUAUCGUUCAAGCAUUGCGAACGUUGAACUCCAGCGAGUUUCGACGCUUUGAAUAAAUCGAAGUGCUGUACCUUCAGUUUUUCCAUCACGUCUUUGAAGCCUUAAUAAUUCAUCACAUGCAGGAACACUUUUUCUGAUACAGCAUCAGGAACAAUGUGAGAGACACGAUGAGCGAAACACGGAAGGCCUUUUUUUUGUCCAAAAGUAUCAUUAAUUGCUUUUCUCAUAAUUGCGGCGCUAUCACUGAUAACAGCAGUUACUUUAUUGAUAUUUAAAUUAAAUGACUCUAAAAUUUUCAAUAAGGACUCCGAAAUAUUGCUACUGGUAUGUUCAGCAUCUAAAGGUUCAACACACAAGUUAUUGCUUUUUAUUUCAAGAUAAUCCUUUUUUAAUAAAUAAUGCACUGUUGCACCCAAAUAACUUUUUUGAGAGACGUCAGUCCAAAUGUCACAGGUAAUACAUAGCGAGGUGAGGCAGUCUUCACAAAUUGUUGAAAACCUUUUUUUUCUGUAAUCCUCAGUGGCAUAUAAUCAACUGCAAUCAUGUACAACAAUGAAUUUGUGAGUUUUUCGGCUUCAACACCUCCAUCUAUAAAACAAUAAAUACAAAAUCAAAAUUCAUCAAAUUUUAAACUGAACCUAAUUGAAAAGGUCAAUUUUAAAACUAACCUUCAUAUGAUUUAGCACGUUGAUACAUCUGCAUGAUGGGAUUCUGCUGGUCAACAAGAUUUCCACUAGAAGUCUUUGAUCUCUUUAGAUUAGAAACAUCGGAAGACUGCUCAACAUUGACAACUUUACGUUUUUUAUUUUUUUCUUCAAAAUUAUUUCCUAUAAAAGAUUUAUGCUUUGACAGCAGAUGCGCUCGUAAAUUCGAAGUAUUUCCGGACGUUUUGAAAAUAUUUUCACACAAGUUACACCGUGCAGAUGAUGAAUUUACUGAUAUAAAAUAAUUCCAAACUUCGCUUUUGUUUUUGGAGCUAAAAAAAAAAUUUUUUUUUUUAAGUUACUAUAAAAUUUACUAAAGUAAACAAUAUAAAAAUAUUCAAUAAAUACGUUCAAACAGAAAACAAACUAUACAUACAUCGACGAUUUACCAUUACCAAUCACAGGAGAAGUGGGAAUCGAUGGAUUAUUAUUAUCUUAAAGAAGUAAGAAUAUAAAAAAUGAUUUUAAAGUUUAAAAAUGUUA
Long non-coding RNA from Cotesia glomerata, 1675 nucleotides. RefSeq lists it as uncharacterized. NCBI's taxonomy places the organism in Eukaryota, Metazoa, Arthropoda, Insecta, Hymenoptera, Braconidae. The record is from RefSeq and is a predicted model, not a curated record. The transcript has 4 exons.